RNAcentral lists this transfer RNA (77 nucleotides) under Opitutia bacterium. RNAcentral's name for it is "tRNA-Met". It matches the Rfam family "tRNA". Rfam says of the family: Transfer RNA (tRNA) molecules are approximately 80 nucleotides in length. The record is from RNAcentral. Lineage: Bacteria; Pseudomonadati; Verrucomicrobiota; Opitutia.
GCCAGGGUAGCUCAGCUGGUUAGAGCGCCGCACUCAUAACGCGGAGGUCGGCGGUUCAAGUCCGCCCCCUGGUACCA